Hevea brasiliensis (rubber tree) is the source of this 1067-nucleotide long non-coding RNA. RefSeq lists it as uncharacterized. Lineage: Eukaryota; Viridiplantae; Streptophyta; Magnoliopsida; Malpighiales; Euphorbiaceae. The transcript is spliced from 4 exons. The record is from RefSeq and is a predicted model, not a curated record.
UUCCCAUUAUCGCCAAUCCAUUGCUCCUCUCCCUCUUUCUUAUCUCUGCCCAUUACAACCGUUCGACCGGCUCCCACCAAAAAGGGGAUUGCGCUCGACUUUUCCAUAUCUGAUAUUCAUCAUAAUCAUCUAUUCAUAUCUUCUUGUCGAUACUUUCCAGAUAAGAGAAAUAAAAGAUUCUGGAAUGGCACCGUCAGCUUACUCAAUUGAGGUGUCAACUUCAAUUUUGCCUUUUGAGCUCAUUCUUCUCCGUCUUCUUUCUCCGGCAAUUCAAACUGUAAUGACUAUGCUUAGGUUGUUAGCAUUCAACUUCUUAAAGAAAUUGUGCUGUAGUAAUGAAGAAGGAACCAAAGUUUAGUAAGGGGAGGUGGAGCCUGUGAGAGGUCCUUUGCUUUCAUAUAAAGAUGAUGAUCUCUCAAGCUCAGGCUGGAAUUAUUGAAGUUCCCUUUCUUCCAUUUAAUCAAACUGAUAAAAGGACAACAUUUACAUAUUUAGAGGAAAGAUGCUUAGAGUGAGCAAAGCACCAGAACAGCAUGGAGGUUAAGGUGAUGAAUCUGCUGAUGCUUCACCAUUGUCCAGUGCAUAUUAUGGCCAAUAUUGGAGGCUUGCUUAUUUCUAGAGGCCUUAAGAUGUGAUGGAUGAUUCAUAGAGUUACCCUCAUACUGGCCCCAACAUCCACACUUGAUUUCCCUCAUAAACUCGUGACUGGCUGCCCUGGCCAUUGGUAUAAUUGUUUUUAUGAUUUUUAAUGCCUAGCUAUCUUUCGAAUUUGAUUCCAUUAGCACAAUAUUUACGAUAUCAUGUUAAUAAUGAUAGAACAGACAUUAUCCUUGUGGGUUAAAGGAAAUUCGAAUCAUGAAAAUUAGAAGCGUUCUGUUCCACUGUCAUGAUAAGUGCUUCUGUUCUUGCAGUUUGCUCUCUGUAGUAUGUACUUCUUAUGAUUGCUUGUGUAGCAUUGCAAUGGUUAGGAUUUUGUGGUGAAUAUAGAUGUGGCCGGGACUCAUUCAAAUGGCUAAAGCAGGAGGUUUGGAUAUGAUCCAGACUUGCGUUUUCUGGGAUGGACAUGA